UGAAAAAGCCCAUAAUAAAAUAGAACGAAAACCGGUUUGAAAAACACGAAAAACCAGACUGAAAGUUCACAAAGCCCAUGCAUUCAGUUUCAUGCAAAGCACAUAAACUCUGUAUUAUAGGCCAUUGUAUUUAUUUUUACUCGGUAUAAUGAGAAAUAGGAGCACAAUUGUAGUCAUGUUAUUUUUGUUACUCAUUGUAUUUCGGAAUUUUGACCCAAAUCUGCCAUGAUCUGCCCAUGAACUUUGAAUGAUGUCCAUCAUUUUGAUCAUUAUUAAUUUUGUUGUCGCAAGUGCAGAUUCUUCUGAUUAUGGCACUCUUAAUAAUUGAAGGGGAGAGUUGGUGUUCAUGAAACCAGAUUGCUUUGCUUGCUACAGAGUACGAGCCACCAAGUUCGUUGGCUUGGUGGCGAGGGCCUCAAUGUGGCGACGGCGGCAGCCUACACUUGCAUACAUGGGUCAGCAGAGGAGAUCUGCAGGUGGCCACGGCGCCCCGCGCUCACGUCCGUGGGGCAGUAGAGGUGGAGUGGACAGUCGCGCCGGAGAGCCUCCCUCGCAUCCACGGGGCAGCAGAGUAGAGCGGCAAGCGGUGACGGCGGCUUGAGCUCGCGUCCUUGGGGCUGUAGAGGAGGAGCGGACGGCGGCGUGACAUGGAGUAGCGCUCGCGCCCAUGGGCAACAGCCAUCAGAGGAGGAGCGGCGGGCGGGUGACGAGGAUCUGCGCUGGCUUCCGUGCGGCAGCAAAGGAGGAUAGACAACUUGUGAGGGCAGAGAGAAAAUUACGGGAUUGAAAUCCCCUAUCCCCGGUAAUUGAGGACGAGCAGGUGCGCUGGGCAGUCUGCUCCGGCAGAACAUUUAAUCUGGAUCGUUCAUUUGUGUGGCAGACUCUUGAUGUAAUAUGGACUGUUAGAUGUGAUUUAGUUGGAUUGAUCGAACGCAUUAGGGAAUCCUGUGUACACUUUGUGGUGUGUCUAUAGGGGAAUUCAUGUUUGCUCUU
Molecule: long non-coding RNA, 993 nt
Organism: Aegilops tauschii subsp. strangulata
Lineage: Eukaryota; Viridiplantae; Streptophyta; Magnoliopsida; Poales; Poaceae
Source: RefSeq, a predicted model, not a curated record